Molecule: ribosomal RNA, 485 nt
Filed under: Kocuria rosea subsp. polaris
Lineage: Bacteria; Bacillati; Actinomycetota; Actinomycetes; Micrococcales; Micrococcaceae
Description: bacterial SSU rRNA
Rfam family: Bacterial small subunit ribosomal RNA
Source: RNAcentral
UCACGGGAUCGUUUCAGAGACGGGGUCUCCCUUGGGGCUCGCUGGCCAUUUUGCGCAGGGUUCUUCUCAGCUCGUCUCGUGAGAUGUUGGUUUAAGUCCCGCACCGAGCGCAACCCUCGUUCUAUGUGGCCAGCACGUGAUGGUGGGGACUCAUAGGAGACUGCCGGGGUCAACUCGGAGGAAGGUGGGGAUGACGUCAAAUCAUCAUGCCCCUUAUGUCUUGGGCUUCACGCAUGCUACAAUGGCCGGUACAAAGGGUUGCGAUACUGUGAGGUGGAGCUAAUCCCAAAAAGCCGGUCUCAGUUCGGAUUGAGGUCUGCAACUCGACCUCAUGAAGUCGGAGUCGCUAGUAAUCGCAGAUCAGCAACGCUGCGGUGAAUACGUUCCCGGGCCUUGUACACACCGCCCGUCAAGUCACGAAAGUUGGUAACACCCGAAGCCGGUGGUACUAACCCCUUGUGGGAGGGAGCCGUCGAAUGGUGAUC